RNAcentral lists this ribosomal RNA (1181 nucleotides) under Triticum aestivum (bread wheat). RNAcentral's name for it is "partial small subunit ribosomal RNA". Lineage: Eukaryota; Viridiplantae; Streptophyta; Magnoliopsida; Poales; Poaceae. The record is from RNAcentral.
GAUCCUCCCUGCUACUGCCGUUGUCUCCAUUCCCCUCGGGAUCACCAGCGAUCCAGCCGCUGCUCUCCACCUCGCACCCGCCCACGCACACAGCCUCAUCCAGCCAGCCACCUUCCACCUUGAUCUGGAGCCGCCAGAUCAAGAUCCGAUGGCCCCUAGGCCACUAGUUCAUCCCCACCGGUCCACCACAGUGCCCCGCAACCACGAUCCUGCCUCGACAGAGCAGCCGUCGCCGGCCACCAGGAACCGUGCCCUGCCUCGUCCCUCGCCCGCCGGUGACCUCGACUUCAUCCAGGCGCCGCCGGUAACCUCGCCCUUGCCUCGCGCUCCUCUUCUUCCCCGUUUUUCCUUGCGCCGCUGUUGACCCGCCUGUCGCUGCUGUUUGUCACCACAGGGAGCUGCGACGCCUUGAAGCUGCAGCACCACCGUUGAGUAGCCAUGGCCUCGAACUCUGCCGCCUCCGCGCCGCCCUGCCCUUUCCCGUCCGCCGCCCGAGCCGCCCAGACCCGCGCACGUUGCCGGCAGGAAGCCGUCGCCCCGCCAAGUCCCUCGCCCCGCCUCUGCAUCCAUGCUCCAGAUCGAACACCAAGGCCCAGUGCAGGCCGCCUCCGCUCCUCCUCACCUCCCCGACGGGUCGCCCGCCGGAUCCGCGUGGCCGGCCCCUCGCCGGAGUCGCGCCAAGUUCCCCUGCUCGCGCUCGGCCUCCUAUGCCUCACGGUCGCACGCCCGAGCCUUGCGUUGACCUCGCCAACAAGUCUUCCGGCCGCCUUCGCUAGCUCCUUCGGCCUCACCUCGCGGCCCAGAUCCGCGCGCCCACCGAUCUGCUUCCCCCUCGGUCUGUUGGCCCAACCUUCGGUUUCGUUUCGGAGUUGUGAGGAUUCGUUCGACUACGUCCGUUUGUCUUCUUCAUGGACUCGUUCUUCUUCCUUGCGGGAUCUCAGUUGCAGGUGCCGAUGCUACCAGUGCAGGUGGCGCAACCGCGCUCAAGUGGGAGCCCGAUGAAGAUCUUGUUCAUUGUUUUAUGUCUUUUACGGUUGAUCAGUAGUGGAGCCCAGUUGGGACGACCGGGGAUCUAGCAUUUGGGGUUGUCUUCCUUUAUUUUGGUUCCGCAGUCGGACCUUUGAUUGUACUUUGGAUGAUGUAUGGAUUAUUUAUGUAUUGUGUGAAGUGGCGAUUGUAAG